GAGGUACAUUUUUGCCUGUAGUCCCAGCUACCUGGAGACUGAGGCAGGAGAAUUGCUUAAGUCCAUACGUUUUGAGCUAUAGUGUGCUAUGCCAAUCGGGUGUCCACACUAAGUUUGGCAUGAGUAUUGUGACCUUCUGAGAACAGGAGACCACCAGGUUGCCUAAGGAGAGGUGAACUGCCCAGGUUGGAAACAGAGAAUGUUAAAAUUCUUGUGUUGAUUAGUAGUAGUACUGUGCCAGUGAAUAAUACUGCACUCCAACCUGGGCAACAUAGCAAGACCCUAUCUCU
RNAcentral lists this signal recognition particle RNA (290 nucleotides) under Aotus nancymaae (Ma's night monkey). RNAcentral's name for it is "Metazoan signal recognition particle RNA (ENSANAG00000006965.1)". It matches the Rfam family "Metazoan signal recognition particle RNA". Rfam says of the family: The signal recognition particle (SRP) is a universally conserved ribonucleoprotein. It is involved in the co-translational targeting of proteins to membranes. The record is from RNAcentral. Lineage: Eukaryota; Metazoa; Chordata; Mammalia; Primates; Aotidae.